Salarias fasciatus (jewelled blenny) is the source of this 5925-nucleotide RNA transcript. RefSeq lists it as uncharacterized. The record is from RefSeq and is a predicted model, not a curated record. Lineage: Eukaryota; Metazoa; Chordata; Actinopteri; Blenniiformes; Blenniidae. The transcript is spliced from 2 exons.
UGUGUCGUCUCGAUCUCAUGGACUCAAUCUCGCGAGACAUCUCGUCCCGUGAAAUUUGUGUCUCGUCCCACCCCUAAUAAAUUAUCACCAUUCUGUCUAAAGCCUGCCCAGUGCUCACCUCCUUGUGAGAGAGAGUGAAGUGUGUUCAACAGCCACAAUGUGUGGUGGGGGGAGAAGUAGAAGGCAGGGCUGCUGCAGCAGCAGAGAGAAUCAAAGCAGUCGCCUUGAUCUCGGUCCCGAUUAUGUCCAGUCGGACCUAGGGGCUUGUUUGGAGGUUUCAUGUGAAUGAAGCGGUCCAGUCCAUUCAGACCAGAUACUGUGGUUCGGCUGUGGGAAGAGCAGGAGAUGGACUGCCUGUGCUGCGGUUCGUGCGUCCUGCAGGUCCUGCUUGUUCAGCUGGGGGCAGCCUUACCCGUCUAUGCUGCUGAGGAAAAGUUUCACCGGUGAUAAAAGGGGAGAUGGAUCGGUUCCAUCACGUCCUGCCAGCGGGCCAUUUUGGUCCCGGGGUUAAUCUGUUGGGAAGACGCGGCUUUGCAUCUUUAAACUUCUUUGAGAGAACUAAAGAUGGCGGACAGGUUGCGUCUAUUUGACUGGCAGGGGAAGUUCCCGUCCCAAGGGUCCGCUUGGACAAUCAGCCGGUGAUUUGAAUCCUUCCUUCGCUGCUCUGGGAAAGGGCCUCACGAGUGCCCUCGUGAGGUGGGACGGUGGUAUUGCAUCAGGGGGUCAACCCCCUGGUGCGUGGAGCUUGAAACUCAGCGCCAUCUUGUCUUUGUUCCUGAGGGAUUUAGGUCUGCACGAGGUGGUCGGGGGGACCACCCCCCACCUCCCUUCUUUGUCUUGAAGGGCCUGUGGCCUUCUCAGGAUUAAGGAUGCCUGGUCAUGUUGGAUUUAAUAUUCCUUGGUGGAAUAUUUCCAUCAAUCCGUCCCCAACAUAGUGGUAGUCUGGCUGGUUGUCAUAUGUAUUGGUGAUGCUGAGGGACCACUGGACAGAGAAGUUUAGAAAGAGAAUACCAUUUGAGUUGCUGCCACCCUUGCCAAACCUUCCAAUCACAUCAUCAUAUGUAUUGUAAUCACUACCAACUCUGGCAUUGAAAUCUCCUAGUAUGAUUAGCCUGUCAGCUUUAGGAACAUCAUCCACAGCUCUGUUCAGCUCCUCAUAGAAGGGUUCUUUGUCUUGAACAGAGUAGGUCAUGGUUGAAGCAUAAACACAGAUUAGCAUGAGAAAGUUCUUGUUGGCAAGUGGCAGGCGUAGACUUAACCUUUCUGACAGGCCUUUGGGCAAGGACGGCAGCUUGACAGUGAGUUUGUUAGAGACAGUAAAUGCAAUGCCAGCCUCUCUUCUCUCACCGGUACUGCCACACCAGAAAAUGGUGUGAGAUUGUUCACGAAUCUAACCCUGGCCUUCAGUUUUUGUCUCCUGCAGUGCUGCAAUGUCGAUUUUGUACCUUUCCAGCUCCUUGCAGAUCAGGGCAGAACGUCUCUCGGGUCUUGUAUCAUUGUCCAGCAUGGUACUGACGUUCCAAGUACCAAUGGACAGCUUCAUCUUCUUAGCUUUCUUUCUACCGCUAGAGUGGAGCUCCAUUGGCCGCGGCAUGCCAACCAGGGUUGAUUAGAUGUUAGAAAAUUAGCAUGUCAGAACAUUAGUAUGUUACCAAAAAGCAUGUUGGCACAUUACCAUUUUAGCAUAUGCAUUUUGGCAAAGCAGCAUAUCAGCAUAUUAGCGUGUCAGUAAAUUAGCAUAUUAGCAUUAGCAUGUUUGCACAUUAACAUGUUAGCAUUAACAUUUAAGCUUAUUAUCUUAUUAGCAUAAGCAUGUCAGAACAUCAGCAUGUUAGCAUUAACAUGUCGGUACAUUAGCAUGUUAGCAUUACAGCACAUUAGCAUGCUAGCAUUAUUAUGUCAGCACAUUAUGGGAUGUCAUAAAUCACACUGUUAUUUUCCAAGAAGUUGAUGGGGCAUUAUAGCAUUAGCCUUCCUCAUGUUAGCAUGUUAGCCAAAAACAAUUAGCACAUUCAAUUCAAUUCAAAGAAGCUUUAUUGACAUGGCAAACAUACAUUCAGAUGGUCUUGGUUCUGGUCCUGGUCCUGGUCUGUCCUCCUGCUCAGGUUCAUGGAGGUUUCAGUUUUUCAGUUCUUUUCCUGUCACAGCCAUGCACAAACCUGACUGCUGUGUUUGCACACUGCUGUACUUCCCCGAGCAGGUAUGGCAGUUUGAGCAUAUCAGGCAUGCUCUGAAAGUCAGUAUGUGUGUUUGUGAUGAGGGGGAAGUAGGUGUCCCUGAGGUCCUGGUACAGGGGGCAGGCGGUCAGGAAGUGCAGCUCGGUCUCCACCUGACCCUGUGUGCAGUGGGGGCACAGUCUGUCCUCUCGGGGGGGUCCAGGUCUGUCUGUGCCGGCCUCUCUCGAUGGCCAGGUUGUGCUCGCUGAGCCUGUACCCGGUCAAGGAUCUUCUGAGCUGUGGGUCCGUCACAGUGCUCAGGUAUUCUGCCACCAUGUAUUUUCUGUUUAGGGCCGAAUAUGUUUCCAGUUUGCUCUGGUGUUUAAUGGAUUCUGUCCAGUGGUUCAGGUAUUUCUCUGGCUGGGGGGGGGGGGGGGGGUUUCCAGCCCUCUGUGGGUGAGGGCUUUGUAGUGGAGAGCGCUGGGCUCUCUCUCUCUCUCUCUCUCUCUCUCUCUCUCUCUCUCUCUCUCUCUCUCUCUCUCUCUCUCGUGUGUGUGUGUGCAUGUGUGUGUGUGUGUGUGUGUGUGUGUUAGAGAUGCGCCGAUCCCGAUACUGGAUCGGGAUCAGGUCUCCGAUCUGUAAUUAAUUAAGUAUCUGACAGUAUCUGUAGGUGGCAUGACGUCGCCGAUCCGAAACAAUCAUAUAAAAAAUAGCUUUGCUGCAUGCUAGUAAUGAGGCCGUCUCCAAACAUUUACGGUAAAUAGGCGGAAGUGAUUUCUUCUUCGUCGCCGUGAACACUGCCGUAAACACUGCGGUAAACAGCCUGACGCGGCAGCGCUGUGGUUUCAUUGGCGGUGAUGCUAAUGCUAAAACUGCGAGCAUGUCCUUAAUCUGGAGGUAUUUUUCACUUGAGACGCCACAAAGUGCCACAGCGAAGUGCAACAUAUGUGCAGCCGAUGUUCCGAGGGGUGGACAAAAACCUUCAACGUUCAACCCCACAAAUUUGGCCAAGCACUUACGGAGACACCAUGCCAAAGAACAUGAGGAGCUGGAGCAAGUGAAACAGCAACAACAACAAGCGCAGCUGAAGAUAACCGAUUCUUUUCAGAAGAGGGAAAAACCUCCCGCAGACAGUCCGAAGGCUCAAAGGAUCACAGAGAAGGUGAUACAAUUCAUUGCACUGGAUGAUCAGCCUCGCUCUGUUAUUGAUAAUGUUGGCUUUCGUAGCCUGAUCGAGCACCUCGAGUCACGGUAUUUGAUCCCCUGUAGGAAAUACCUAACAGAUACUGCUUUGCCAGCACUAUACAAAAGAGUGGCUUCGCAGCUAUCAGGUCAGUUAAAGGAUGUCAAAGCUCUCAGUUUUACUACGGACAUAUGGUCCUCUGAAGUUAGCCCGAUGUCGCGAAUCAGUCUAACUGUACAUUGGCUAAGUGCAGACAAUUAUGCUUUUAACAGCGCGGUGCUGCAAGUUAAACAGUGCAGGGGCUCACACGCCAGCGAGCGGAUUAAAACCACAAUGAGAGAGAUGCUGGACAACUGGAAGAUUCCGCUGUCUAAAGUGCAUGUGAUUCUGAGAGACAAUGCAAGCAAUAUGGAAAGAGCUAUGGAUGAAGUGCCUGUUAACAGUUUAGGCUGUUUGGCACAUUCACUGCAGCUCGUGGUUCAUGAGGGGGUUCUCUCCCAAAAAAGCGUGGUUAAUGCACUCACAAAUGGAAGGAGAAUAGUGACGCAUUUUAAACAUUCACAAGUGGCACAGUCAAAGUUUGAAGAUAUUCAGAAAGAACUGCAGCCAGCAAAACAAACAAAAAGGCUCCAGCAAGAUGUGCUGACGCGAUGGAACAGUUCAUUGUAUGUGAUUCAAAGCCUCCUGGAACACAAGCGAGCCCUGUGCACUUAACCAUGCAGAUAUCGGCCUGCCUACCACACUGUCUGCAAACGAGUGGUCGUUGUUAGAAAAAACUGUGACAGUAUUAGAGCCCUUUGAGGAGAUAACAAAGCUCAUCAGCUCAGCGACCUCAACAGCUGCGGAUGUUAUACUUGCCCUCACUGUACUGAGGCGACUGCUCCAACGUGAAACCAGUGCUGACAGCGGGAUCAAAACCAUGAAACGAACCCUCCUGGAGGCUGUAAACAGAAGGUUCAGCAACACCGAGGACACAGAACCCUACUCUGUAGCCACUUUAGAGGAUCCCCGCUACAAAGACAGGUACUUCACAGGUGCUGUCUCAGCCAAGCUUGCCGAGGAUGCCCUGCUCCGAGAGAUAAGGAAGAUGGAGCGAACACUGAAUGAUGGAGGCGCUUCAGCGACACAGCCAGCAGUUACCGAAGAGGAUACAGCUUCAGCAACAACAGAGCCAGCUGACAAGGUGCGAUGCACUAUGACUCUUGACUUGUAGAUUUUUUUCUUUUCAGCAAAAAACGAGGGGCCCAUCUGUAUUGUUCAUGAAUUAGACUAUUGAAUAAACUGUCUCAGGUUUAAUUGUGUUCUAUGCAACAAAAAAUUGUACUCUUUGAAUCUAGCUGUACAACUGUAUGUUGGUCAAUUAUUUUUUUUCAAAAUGACUGUAUGUAUACUGAGUAAAUGUCAUGCCAAACUCACUGUGGCGAACUUACUAUAGUGACUGACUAUUGAUGAGACAAUACAGUCUGUUUUGUGUUAACCUCAGGGUUAAAAUGUAGCCUGAUAUACUUGAUGUUAACUUUAAAAGAGUCACCGUGAGAUGUGGCUGUUCUUGUUUACAGUGGUUGCUACUUUAUUGUCUUUUAUCUUGCUACAGCUCCUCGUGUUGCUGCUACCUUAAAAUGGACUUUCAAUACUUGAUUUUUUUGAGUUACAUUAAAUUUGAAGAAGCAGCUAGUAUGCACUUUGUGAUUACCACCUUUUUGUAUUUUCCAGUGUUGUCACUGCCAGGCUUUAUAACCUGAAUGUUCAAGCCAAGGUAACAGGACAGUGACUGAUGUCAGUGACAUGGUUUUUCUUUAAUUGUUUAUAGUGGUUACUGCUGCACUAAAACAGACCUACAGUAUUUUAUUUAUUAUGUUUAAUAUAAUUUUAAGGAGCAGCUAUGCACAUUUUUGUAGGUAUACUGUUAUUGCACUUUAAAGAGAUUGCCAAUUGUACUGUUGCCUUUUGUACUGACUGCACUCGUUACUUGAACUAAAGCCUACCCUGCAAUAAAUAAAUGGCUUUAAUUGAAAGGUAAUGCGUUUUUUAUACUUGAAUUUUUUUUGCCAUGUAGCAUACUUAAGUAUCUGGUAUCGGGGAAAGUAUCGGAACACAGCCAAAUUAAUAUAUCGGAUCGGAUCGAAAUUGAAAAAACAUAGAUCGGAGCAUCUCUAUUGUGUGUGUGUGUGUGUGUGUGUGUGUGUGUGUGUGUGUGUGUGUGUGUGGUGAUCCAGAUGACCAGGUUAGCUGCUGACUGGAGGUGCUGUCACCCAGGGCCGGUCCAAGCCCUAGGCGAGCCCGACAAGGGGGCUGGGGGGGGCGAACAAUUCCGAGCGAUUCCGAGCGAUGCCGAGAAGUGCGCUACUCACACGAACCGUCAGAGCGUCGCAGAGCGGGGCUCACACAGACCGUCGGGGCGCCCCUUGCACGGCCACGGCCAUGCCCCCCCCCAUGCAUCAGUUGUUCUUUGAUCCAGAUGUAGUUUGGACAGAGAGUGGACUGAGCUCUGCAGCAUGUUGAUGAGAGCUCUUCUCCUCCUGGAGGCUUCAGCUGUUUGGACUUUACAUUUCUAAACUCUUCCAGUCUGAACCUUCUUCAGCUCUC